This 213-nucleotide unclassified non-coding RNA is filed under the name plant metagenome. RNAcentral's name for it is "partial contains small subunit ribosomal RNA and internal transcribed spacer 1". The stretch from base 1 to 46 matches the Rfam family "Eukaryotic small subunit ribosomal RNA", at positions 1786 to 1831 of the family's 1831-position model. The record is from RNAcentral.
AAGUCGUAACAAGGUCUCCGUAGGUGAGCCUGCGGAGGGAUCAUUACAAGAACGCCGGGGCCUUCCGGCCAUGGUUCAUUCAUAACCCUUUGAUUGUCCCGAUCUCUUGGUUGGCCUCCGGGGCGACCCUGCCUUCGGGCGGGGGCUCCGGGUGGACACUUCAAACUCUUGCGUAACUUUGCAGUCUGAGUAAACUUAAUUAAUAAAUUAAAA